CCCCCCGCCCCAGGCCGAGCGAAGGUCUCUAUGCCAUUGGAUGGUGAAGGCGGAUUGGGAUUUUGGAGGCGAUGCAAGGACGAUAAGGGCGGCUCGGGCCCCGGAAAGCUGCAGGCCAUCGGGAAAGCGGGGCUGCAGGAUGAAUAGGAGAUACUUACAGAAAGCAACAAAAGGCAAACUGCUAAUAAUAAUAUUUAUCGUAACCCUGUGGGGAAAAUUAGCAGCGGCUGCAAAUCACCACAAAGCUCACCAUGUUAAAACCGGGACCUGUGAGGUUGUGGCGCUCCACAGAUGUUGUAAUAAGAACAAGAUAGAAGAAAGGUCACAGACAGUCAAGUGCUCCUGUUUCCCCGGGCAGGUGGCAGGGACCACCCGGGCUGCGCCUUCUUGUGUUGAUGCUUCAAUAGUGGCUCAAAAAUGGUGGUGCCACAUGCAGCCGUGUCUGGAAGGAGAAGAAUGUAAAGUUCUUCCCGACCGGAAAGGAUGGAGCUGUUCCUCUGGGAAUAAAGUGAAAACCACUCGGGCAAACGUGUAAAACUCUUCAAGUCCGCAUGGAGAAGUAGACAGAGGAGGUUUCUGCCGUGCCUGAUGACAAUUUUUGAGUUUUCCACACACAAAAUAUUCCUGGCUCCUCGUUGGAGCCUUAGUUGUGACGAGUCCUAGUUUGGGUCGGAUUCUAAGGAAGGGCCAGAAGGUUCAUUGAGGAAUAAAGAGUCAAACCGGCUCCUGAAAUGAGCUCCUGUCCUGGUUUGUUUCUCCCAGAGCACCAGGUAACCCAUUAGCUAAAGACAAAUCAAGUGGAUCUCAAGGCUGAUAAUAUUAAGCAUACCUUGUAGGAAUUUAACAUCCGAAGCAAUCUAGCAUUUUAUACUGCUGGUGAGUUCUCUUCAGAACCAAUUAAUUCCGUGGGAAUUAUGGGUUCACAAGCAGCGACCUUUUGGAGCCAAAACUUCUUAAAAAUCAGGCAAGAACUUCUCUUUCCAGAAGACGCUGACUGAUUUGAACUGAGUUCACUUGUAAAAUUGUACUAGCUAACAGAACUGACUUCAGUCUGAAGAGUUGAGAUUCCCAGGGUGUCACAGAGAUUCCAACUUUUUGGGUUCUUGGCUCCGGAAAAGACUGUUUUUCUUGUAUCUGAAAACAUUCUUCACCCUGAACUGGACUUUGAGUUCUGCUACCAUGCUGAAUCCUAUAUGCCACUGACUGGAUCCCAUACUGCUUGAAUCACAUUUCUUUUUCAUAACUUGUCCUCCGGCAUGGCAACAGUUUAAACAUUUUUAUUUGUAUCCGAGUCCUAGAGCUCUUAGAGACUACAUAUUUCAACAUCUUGAAGUUACUUUUGUUCUAGAAAUGGAAAUGUAUAUCCAUGGUUAAUAAUUAUUGUUGACAAGUAAUAGUUCUCUGAAUACUUCAUUGAAUCAUAUAUGUAGGUAUAGGCAAGCUGAGAUCUUUCUCCAAAGCUAACAGCAGCUCCUUUGGUAGCUCCAUCAAUAGUGGUCAAAACUGGGUUCCAAUUUUCAUGAUAAAGUAUUUUAAAUCUCGAGAGCAUACAUACGCUUUAAGUUCGAAGAAAAAAACGACGAGUGCUAUGUAUUUAGUUUCUUCGUUUCCAUGCUUCCCGGUCUCACCCAGAUCAGCAGUGAGCAGUGGAAGGCUUUGUAGAACUCCCCUUUGGAAAUAGCCAGGGAUGCAUGUGAGUAUAACAAUUCUGAGCUUGAAUGGGGCUCUUUUGGAGGGUUUUCUUGACUUUUUAUGACUGUCUCUUGCUUGAACAUAAUGACUGUCUGGAUGCUUUUGUAUUUGUCUGCCCAAUCUGUCCGUCGAUAGAGGAAAGAGUUCAUUUCUCCCAGUCUCCAGUUCACUAACAUUCACCAACAACUGCCCGACUCAGACGAUUCUAGCUGGCUUUCUCCCUGAUUUGGGGAAGUGGCUUUCAAAUUUGUGGUUUGCUGGUUCUACAGAAAAAUGUCUUAUGGAUAUUUAAAGGCCUUAAACAUCUAUGAACUUUUUCUAAGCUAUUACAGAAUGUAUAAUUUUCUACUGCAUUUGCUGGACUCCGCCGGCAACGUAAAGGUAGAGGAGACUGGAAGCCGCCUUGCUGUUGUAUACACACAGGCUGAGGGAGUGGUAAAGAAAGCGAUUUCUGUGUCUUCAUUCUGUAAACUGAGACGAAGACUGUGUGGACACAGUCCUAUUGGAAACGAAUUAUGUGAGUAAGCUAACACAAGUGGCCAGCAUGAGGUACCAAUAUACUCGAGAAAGAGGGAAAUCUUUUCAUUUCUACAACUCACUGACAUGGAUAAUUUUACCUAAAUUGGGUUCCAUAAUGAAUGUUGCCCUAGAUUGGCUGUGUCAAGACCGUUUCCUCAGCCCUAUUAUUGCACAGCAGAACUAAAGUUGUAAAAAUUGUUGCAAAUACAUGGAAAACGUAUUUUAACAUCACUCUGACGAAUGCGGCACAGCAUUUCCAUGGAAAGAAAUGCUUUCUGCUCGGUUUUAAUGAGGAUAAACUCUUGUAAGAACCAGUUAGGUGUCUCCACAUUUUCGGGUUGAUUCACACCGGACAGGCUUGCUCAGAAAGGGGAAUGGAUGGAGAGGGCUGUGAAAACUUAUGAAACCUCAUUCCCUUGUUUGGAAUAAUUCAAAGUGAAAACUGGUACUUUGUAGGAUAUUAUUUGGGUGCGGAUUGGAUCAAAAUUCUGCUUCAUGUUUCUCAAUAUUGUUUCCUUUGACUCUGUUCUUAAAAUCACCACUGGAAAUACUGUAUUAUAUACAAGUGUAACACAUGCAUAUCAAUAGGUGAAAAUAAAUGGAUUUUCAAAUAUACUAACUAGAUUAUCCCCAAUAGAUUAAUGUUGUGACAAGUGAAUAAAAUUGUGAUAGAAAAUGGACUCCCUUCAUGGA
RNA transcript from Ornithorhynchus anatinus (platypus), 2904 nucleotides. It is a transcript of the gene named TAFA chemokine like family member 2, with no coding region annotated. NCBI's taxonomy places the organism in Eukaryota, Metazoa, Chordata, Mammalia, Monotremata, Ornithorhynchidae. The record is from RefSeq and is a predicted model, not a curated record. The transcript is spliced from 6 exons.